GGAAAGUCGUUCACAUACAGCUAAAGUUAGUACAAGCCAUCCAAACUUUUCUUAGGUUGACAAACUUUAACUAGAUCAUGAUUGUGUUUUGGUUAAAAAGUUGUUGCUUGUCUGUAGUCGCAACAUAAAUGAAUCUACAUAGAGUCUGUGCCUGAUUGGGAAGACAGACCUAGACAAAAACCGGCCAAUGCCAGGGUUGCUGCUGCCUUCGCUCGCGGGGCGCUACCCAAGGAAAGUUUUCCCCGCACAGCCGAAGAGGAGUCUGGCUCACGCGCAGGUGCUAUUUAAACACCGCCGAGAGCCAUUACCGGGCUGAUCAGUGUUGCUGAGGAGAAGGAGGGAAGCCCUGUGCGAAGCUCGGGGGAAGGCACCCCGAGGAGACCCGUCCUUUGCCCGCAGCUCUAGCGCCCUACGCCGUGGGGGGGAAUGGACAGAAAGGCCAGUUACCUGCGGUAGAAGAUGCUAGGAUCAGUUCCAGCACAACUAUGAAACAGAUGAAGAAUUUAGGAAAAUAAUUAAUUCCUACAGAGAAUACUUUAUGUAGCACGAUAAUGAAAAUGAGAGAGAGAGAGAGAGAGAUCCACACAGCAUGGAGGCAGCAAAGCCAGGAAAAAAAGUUUUUGGUUUGCAAUCAGCUGCUCAUUCUGUCAAAUUCUUGUCUCUUUGCACUUGGCUGUGAGCAAAUAUGAUAAAUACAAUCAUUUUGAUGUCUAAUAGAAUAAUCCUGACUAGAGCAUUCAGCAUAGUUGCUGCAUCACUUGGAAAGGGACGCGCCAAUGAAAGCUCAACACCAGUUCUGGCUGAAAAAGGUUAAAUGAUGGUCUGGCAUGAUUAUUUGUUAUACUGCCAGGCUUUACACACUAUGAAUUGAUUGAAAUAACUUCUGGAUUAACUGCUUCCCCCAUCACCUCCUCAACCAACAAUCUGAAUUUUGUCAACUGGAAAAAGUAUUGUGGUCUCUCACAUAUUCUGUAUUUUUUUUUAAACACAAAGUUGUACAAAAUCUUAAGUGAAAUAGAGAUCAUUGAUGGUUUAUAGCCAUGGCCCUAUGAAAGAGUAAACAUGAACACUCACAUCGAAGUAUAAGGUACCUCAAUAGUCUGUAACAUAACAAGGGGUAGAAUUAUCUUCCUCAUAGGUGUGUACCACACCCAGUUCCUCUGGUGGUGCUCAUGUUGCUAGUUACUUUGGAGCUAAUAGUUUGGAAGGAGCACUGGGAGAGAAUCUUAAGCAUUACCUUGGUAGCUACCCUUAUGUUUUUCUGUUGGGGUGGGUGUAUGGAGUUUGUUCACAAAGGCCUGCCCCAAAACCUACAAGAGACUAGAGCCAUCUGUAUGGAAACCCUAUAACUCUAGCCUACAGUGCGGCUCCAGGAAUUUUUCUCCUGCCUGUGUCUGUCCAUUUGGGAUGAUUGGAGCUAUGUAGAAAAUAUAAUGUUGUCCCAGGCUAGCCGUACUAUCUUUUCUCCUCAAAUUCAGCAAGGCUAGAUGGGAAAGAAUGUGUCGUUAUCUGUCCUGGCCCUUAAUUCAUCCAUACCCCCCGUUUGCCUGUCUCUAAUCCUUUUCUCUAUGUAACCCCACACUUAGAGUGCCCUUUGCCGGGCACAAAGGAGAGAUGGUGCCAGGGAGAUGGCUGAUGCUCUUCGGUACAGGAUCUGUGGGAGCUCUGUGCAUCGAGAGUCAUUUUAGCACUCCGGAGCUGGGAAGGACAAUCCAGGCCUUUAUUUUUAAUGCUCCAGUAGAGGGGCUGAAUAUUCAAGUUGUCAUAAAUGAGUUUCCUAUCCUGCUUUAACAAUGAGUGAACAAUCAUUACUGUUUACUAUUGAAGCAAAAGGUUAAGGAAAAGCUGGUGUAAUUUUACCUUACACAGCUAAAUAUCUCUGUAUAGCUUUCUGUACUUACAUUUUCUUCAUAAUAUCCCUUUAUUAAUAAAGAAAUCAAUAUACAGUUUCAAACUAACAAAAUCAACAGUUUUAGAAAUACUUGCUAGUGUUACAGUAGCCCUAGUCAAUAGCCCUGAUUCAAGAAAUAUACUUAGGCAGGAAGGGUGCUUAAAGAAGUGAAGUACAUAGGUUUUAGGCAUGUACUUAAUUUUAAAAAGAUAUGCAUACACUUAAGUGCUUUCCUGAAUCGGAACCACUGAAUGGUAGUGUUAUUCCUCAAUGAACCCUGACAGCUUAUACUUUCCACAAGAGGUUUGAUGAUGGAAAAUUAAGCAAACACUUAUGCACAUUUUAAAAAAACACCACUUUACUCCUGUGAGAAAUAUCUUUGAAGUUGGCCUGCGAAGUGUGAUAGGAUUUAGUUGUCAUGGGUAAUUUCCUAGUUAGUUGUAAUCCAAAGGGGAUUGAGAUCACUAAAUCCGCAAGCAGCAUUCUGUCUUUAGCUAAAAUCAUAGGCCAAAAGAAAAAAAUGGGCUGCCUGUGAUUUUCUGAGGUAGAUUUUAUGCAAUAGUUGAGCUGUAUUUCUAAUAUACAGGACCUUCCUCCACAAUGCUGUGGAGUAUUUAAAAAGUUUUGCAGUAGUACUGUAUAAUAUAUAGAAUUUGGGCACAGAGGGAGAUGAAUAUAGAACUCAUGUAUUAACAUGUGGGAGCACAAAAUAUAUUUUGCUCAAACAGCUCUGUACUGCAAUGUACUGCACAUGUUGGCCCUGAUCCAGCAAGCAUGUGCUUAAACAUUGAAAUUAUGGGCCUGUUCACAGGCUUAAAGCUAAGCAUGUGCUUUGUAGGCUCAGGGUUAGAGUGCUGAGAAACUUAUAGGCUCAAGUCCAUUAAGGACUUGUCUAUACAGGGAAAUUUACUGAUAUAAUUCUAUUGGUAUAACUUCCCCUAUGGACACGCUUUUUCCAGUUUAGCGUAUGCUACUGCCAAAGCAACACAGUAAAGCAGAAAGACAUUCUUAUUCCAGAGUAAGUGUGUCUACAUGGGGAUUUAUACUGGUAUAGUAUAAAUACACUUGUAUAAUUAUGCCAGUAACUUUCCAUGUAGACAAACCGUAAAAAUGAUUGUGGACUGGGUUGGAAUGGCAAUUGGGUGUUACGCAGUAAAAUGUAACUGGUUGUCAUUUGGCUGUAGUCCCCACAGUCACAAAGGGGAAACACAAAGCCCACAACGGGGGGGGGGGGAGUGAGAUCCUGCCUUCUUUACUGUACUUGUUAACCUGUCGCUCUUUGUUUUCAUGGAGGAAUUUACCUUCCUUAGUGCUUAAAGCUAAGGACUAGGAGUCAGGGUUCCUGCUCCUGACUGGACUUGGCCCUGAUCCAAAGUCCAUUGAAGUCAACUGAAUUGAUCUUAAUGGGGUUAGAAUCAGGAUCUUUGACCCCAGCCUCAACCUGGCUUUACUUUUUGUGCUUGCAGUUAUCUGUGAGCACAAUUUACGUUACUGAGCCAUCUUUGUACUUUGUGUACCCACAAAUCCAAAAGGUCAAGUGACAUGGAAAAGCGAGGUUAACUUUUUAUUUUUAAAUUGUCUCGUAAUCUCUGUAUACCUAUACAAUAAGAAUAUAUUAUUGCCCUUUUUUUGACCCAACUGCCUAGUCAAAGUUUUGGGCCCUGAAAAUGUUUCAGUUGGAAGCAGAAAUUGAUGACAGCGUCUGUUAUUUUCUUUGAUGCAAUCUUGUUUAUUUACAAGGAAUACAGGACAAAGAAAAACAAACAGAGGGCUAGCUUAUUUGCUUACAGUCUCAAGCCUCUUAGAUAGCACCAGACCCAGAACCUUCCUCAAGGCUUCGCCACGGUCACACUGUGCUUGGCUUUCUUCCUUCCUCUGAGUCUUCAUUUUUGUCUGCUCUGCCUCCCCCUUUUGCCUCAAAGACCCCCAACCCAGACAGUACAAUACUCAGCAAAACCCUGCUGCCCUCUCAAUGCAAAACUCUUGGGUAGGUUCACAACCCCUUUUGUCUUAGGUGGUGGGUUUUUGAUUAACUUGUCCUGAUAGUCAUGUUAAGUGAUGCUAAAGAGGCUUGACGAUCCAUGCGCUUACCAGUACCUCUCAGCAUAAAAAUAUAUGUGCCUUCAGAACUUGGGUGCUGAAUGUAUUAAUAAAAUGUUACAAAGAAGAAACCUAAUUACAGCUCUGGAAAAUAUUUCUGUUUAAUGGACAAUUGUAUUUUUCUGUACAUUGUAAAAAGCUACAAACUGCAGAUUGUGGUUUUGUGUCUGUUUCUGGUUUGGAGUUUGAUUUAAUUUGUUCUCAUACAGCUCCUAUCAUGCAUGAGCCUUUUGGGAAAAUGUGCAUCUUUUCCUGCUUUUUAGCAAGCACUGGCAGACUCCUCUUUUGGUGAAGUCUGUCUCCUCCUUUUUUGCUUUGAACCUUUUGCUGAGAUUCAUAUCUGGGGAUGGUGCAAAUUGUAAGAUAUGCAAAGAAUAACUUCCAAGGCAGCACAACUUCAGUGAGUUUGGCCAUGAGGACUACAUUUUGUCUCACCCAGUACAAGCUGUCAUGAAGAUCCUUGUUCUAGGUUAGGCUGCAGUAACCUACAGAAUGCAAAUAGCUUGAGUUUAACCACCAGAUGAAGAACUCUACUGAUAAGUGGUGUCAGCCAGAUGUUAGAGCAGACUUAGCCAAAUGGACAAAUAAGGA
Chelonia mydas (Green sea turtle) is the source of this 4582-nucleotide long non-coding RNA. RefSeq lists it as uncharacterized. The transcript has 3 exons. NCBI's taxonomy places the organism in Eukaryota, Metazoa, Chordata, Testudines, Cheloniidae. The record is from RefSeq and is a predicted model, not a curated record.